AGGAAAUAGAAAAAAUCGAGUAGAAAAGUUGUGCACCGUUUUACGAGUUUUGCAAUAAUUAUCAAGAUAUUAAUUCAAGGGAGUUCAAGAAGGCUAUAUACAUAUUAUUUGCAGGCAAAUCUUUGAGUAAUAAAAUAUUGAUAUUUUCUACUUAAUCUAAAAAUUAAGAUUUUCUGAAAGUACCUUGCUAAAAUCUACAAAUUGUAACAAAUAACAUUUACUCUAUAAUACAAUUAGUUAUUAUAUUGUA
This is a long non-coding RNA of Ooceraea biroi (clonal raider ant), 250 nucleotides long. RefSeq lists it as uncharacterized. NCBI's taxonomy places the organism in Eukaryota, Metazoa, Arthropoda, Insecta, Hymenoptera, Formicidae. The record is from RefSeq and is a predicted model, not a curated record.